Molecule: ribosomal RNA, 753 nt
Filed under: uncultured bacterium
Lineage: Bacteria
Description: bacterial SSU rRNA
Rfam family: Bacterial small subunit ribosomal RNA
Source: RNAcentral
AAUCAACGCUGGCGGCGCGCCUAACACAUGCAAGUCGAGCGAGAAAGUGGAGCAAUCCAUGAGUAAAGCGGCGCACGGGUGAGUAACACGUGGAUAAUCUACCUUCUGGUGGGGAAUAACCUGGGGAAACCUGGGCUAAUACCGCAUAAGUCCGAGAGGAGAAAGCCGAAAGGCGUCAGAAGAGGAGUCCGCGGCCGAUUAGCUAGUUGGUGAGGUAAAAGCUCACCAAGGCGACGAUCGGUAGCCGGCCUGAGAGGGCACACGGCCACACUGGCACUGAAACACGGGCCAGACUCCUACGGGAGGCAGCAGUGGGGAAUCUUGCACAAUGGGGGAAACCCUGAUGCAGCGACGCCGCGUGAACGAUGAAGCCCCUCGGGGUGUAAAGUUCUUUCGGCAGGGACGAUUAUGACUGUACCUGCAGAAGCAGCUGCGGCUAACUACGUGCCAGCAGCCGCGGUAAUACGUAGGCAGCAAGCGUUGUUCGGAAUUACUGGGCGUAAAGAGUGCGUAGGUGGUUGGCCAAGUUUGGUGUGAAAUCUCCCGGCUUAACUGGGAGGGUGCGCCGAAAACUGGCCGGCUAGAGUGUGGGAGAGGGAAGCGGAAUUCCAGGUGUAGCGGUGAAAUGCGUAGAUAUCUGGAGGAACGCCUGCGGUGUAGACGGCUUCCUGGACCAUGACUGACACUGAGGCACGAAAGCGUGGGUAGCAAACAGGAUUAGAUACCCUGGUAGUCCACGCCCUAAACGAUGCA